UUUUGACGUUACUGACAGAAGAAGCACCGGCUAACUCCGUGCCAGCAGCCGCGGUAAUACGGAGGGUGCGAGCGUUAAUCGGAAUUACUGGGCGUAAAGGGCGCGUAGGCGGUUGAGUAAGUCGGAUGUGAAAGCCCCGGGCUUAACCUGGGAAUUGCAUUCGAUACUGCUCGGCUAGAGUAUGGUAGAGGGAAGCGGAAUUCCGGGUGUAGCGGUGAAAUGCGUAGAUAUCCGGAGGAACACCAGUGGCGAAGGCGGCUUCCUGGACCAAUACUGACGCUGAAGCGCGAAAGCGUGGGGAUCAAACAGGAUUAGAUACCCUGGUAGUCCACGCCCUAAACGAUGAGAACUAGCCGUUGGGGGAAUUUAAUCCCUUAGUGGCGUAGCUAACGCG
This 394-nucleotide ribosomal RNA is filed under the name uncultured bacterium. Its description in RNAcentral is "bacterial SSU rRNA". It matches the Rfam family "Bacterial small subunit ribosomal RNA", at positions 467 to 859 of the family's 1533-position model. The record is from RNAcentral.